ACACACUGAACAGCCUCACCCGCCACAGCCUUGCUCUCAAGCGUUCUGCUUUCCUGCAUCGGCAGAAAUAAGGGGACCAAUUUAUCACACCUGCUGGGUGCCAGAUGAGGUAACUACGGCUUUGGGAUGUUACGCAAUGAGUAAGGCCUUGUGAGUCUUCACAGAAAGGGACUGGCCUGGAGGCUCCGAGCAGUCAGCUAGUUCCCGUCACUGUUCUCCCCGGGAAGCUGUGGAUGGGCAGUGAGCCAGGCAGGGAAAGGCCUCGGAUGGAAUUGCACUCAAGGACGUGUCUGCGUCAAAGCUUUUCUCCAAGUUCGUCUUCAGUUGCUAUUUCUGAAGCCACAUCACACCCUGAGAAACUCCUCCCUUUUCCUCUACCCUGCUUCUCCCCCCGUCUGUCUCCUUCUUGUCACUUUUAGUUGGUUUUGCACGGGAACUCUGAGGCCAUCCCAGCUGCCCUUGUCCGCCCGUGAGAAUCCCCUUCCACAGCGCCUCAAGAGCAGGAUGGAAGUUCCAAGAGUAUGAAUUCAUUUCAUGACAUGUACCUUUUGCAACAUACCCUGCAGCUGCGUGUCUUCAAGGAAUGAUGGGACACUAUGUUUAAGCUCCAGAAAUCGAAGCAGGACUCAAAGAAGCAGGCCAGUUCUGCUCUGCCCCCGAAGGAAAAGGAAAACAAAGAUUCCAACCAUUUGCAGCUCCUGAAAAAUCCCGCUGACAGAUGAUCAGCCUCAUUCCAGGCUAACUAACUGCUAACGAGCUUGAAUUCGCCUAUUCAGGGAAUGUCCUUUGUUCACUUCUCUGCUACCUGAAUUGUCUUCCCACUCUGCCUUCAGACACACUGAGCCAGAAGUUCAGCUCGGGGGCAAGAGACGGCAAAAUGUGAGCCUCGAAUCAUCAGAGAUCACCACAGUGAUGUCUUGAAAUUCAAGGCAAUAUGAGUGUGUUACUGGGCUCAGUAUCAGCCGGUAUUACGAGAAACACUGGGGCAUUUCCAGUGCAGAUUAUUUUAAAUGGGAGAGUUCUUUUUUACUGUCACUUCUCCAUUCUGGUCAUAGAAUGAUUAUUGACCAUUAUUGGGCCCUAACCAUAUUCACAAAACGUGGCUCUCACCCAGUAUUUCCACAUUAUUGCUCUAGAUUGCUUUAAAUGGAAUAUACACACAGUAAUGAGUCAGUUUUAGUGGAAGAGGCUUAUCCUCAAACCUUACAUAACUGCACUGUAGUCUUGACUUUGUUCCUCUCCAGCUACUGGGCUGAAGACAGACAAAACAAUCAGCCAACUCAGUUUAACACCUCCCUCGACCAUGCCUCCCCUUGCCCCGACACACGCCAGAUUAACACUCUUCUCAGGCAUCAUUCAGAACAACGGCUCUCAAUUCUGGCUGCAAACAGAAUCAUCAGGGAGCUUUUUAAAAACAAAAGAAAAAAAAUCAAUACCCAGGCCCUACUCCAAAUCAAUUAAAAUAGAUUUUAGGGGGAUGGGCCUCAGGCAUGGGAAUUUUUAUAAAGCUGCCGUGUUUAUACCGACAUGCGCCAUAAAUGGGAAUCUCUGUUUUAAACUUGACCAAAAUUAAUGAUUAGAGGUUUUGCUUGCACACCAAGCAGGCAAAUUUAAUAUUUAAUAUUUAUAUAAAACUUAAGAUCAUCACUCUUGGAAUCAAAUAAAACCAACAGAAAGGUACAACUAUAUAGUGCAACCAAGUUGCACAGGAAGAGAACAAAAAUAGAGAUACUUGCUCUUUUUUUUUUUUUUUUUUGAGAUGGAGUCUUGUUCUGUCACCAGGCUGGAGUGCAGUGAUGCGAUCUUGGCUCACUGCAACCUCCGCCUGCCAGGUUCAAGGGAUUCUCCUGCCUCAGCCUCUCUAGUAGCUGGGACUACAGGUACGCACCACCACACCUGGCUAAUUUUUGUAUUUUUAGUAGAGACAGGGUUUCACCAUGUUGGCCAGGAUGGUCUCGAUCUCCUGACCUUGUGAUCUGCCAGCCUCAGCCUCCCAAAGUGCUGGGAUUACAGGCAUGAGCCACCGCACCCAGCCAAGAUACUUGUUCUAAUGCCACCUAACUUGGCCAGAUCUUUGGAGGCCCUAAAGCAAUAACAUAGACAAACAACUUCGGACAAAUAAGUUUCCACCGAGUAUGCACAGAUUAAGACUUUAACUCAGGGAUGAGGGAAGUCACAAUAAUGAGCAGGAUCCCAAGGUGUCUGGCUUUGGCAGCCAGUUCUCCCCAGACUGCGUCUUGCUUCAUAUGUGCCCUUUAGGUAAGAGGGCCUAACAGGCUAAUGGGCGCCUAAUGGUAAGUGGGGCUGGACUCAGACUAGAAAUUUGGCAGGACGAUGCCCCGGGAUCUAGGCUGUUCCAUUACUAUUCCCAAAAGGGGAACAAUGCUGAAUAGAGAUCUGAAGUAGAAUCAGCUUGUCCCUGGGACAGGGUAAGGGGAGAGGUGGGGAGUGAGAGGGCUCAAGACAAAUGAUGAUACACCUUGUUCAGAUCUCCUCUUCAAGGUCUCUGCAGACAGAAAAGUGCCAUUCUCGGCAGCCCCCGGGACAGUUCCACGUCAGGCUCAUCCCUCCCUGCACCCACCAUGGCCUAAAACGCAGGUUUGACUGUACUAGGAAUCAGGGAUGUUUGCACUCAGCUACAGUAUAUCUCCACAGCCAUGUGUCAGUGACUUCAGCGUUCCAAAAACCUGGAAAGAAAUCUGCUGUCCAAACAAAUCUGAAAUAUUUGCAAGUCAAAAAAAAAAAAAAAAAAAGACAACACCUGGGUCUGUUUUCUAUAGGAGAGAAAGGGAGCUGUAAAUGUAAUUAGAAGGAGAUAUCUCCUGCAUUCUUUGUUUUUUUAAUUUUAUUAUUAUACUUUAAGUUUUAGGGUACAUGUGCACAACGUGCAGGUUUGUUACAUAUGUACACAUGUGCCAUGUUGGUGUGCUGCACCCAUUAACUCCUCAUUUAGCAUUAGGUAUAUCUCCUAAUGCUAUCCCUCCCCUCUCCCACCACCCCACAACAGUCCCUGGUAUGUGAUGUUCCCCUUCCUGUGUCCAUGUGUUCUCAUUGUUCAAUUCCCACCUAUGAGUGAGAACAUGCGGUGUUUGGUUUUUUGUCCUUGCGAUAGUUUGCUGAGAAUGAUGGUUUCCAGUUUCAUCCAUGUCCCUACAAAGGACAUGAACUCAUCAUUUUUUAUGGCUGCAUAGUGUUCCAUGGUGUAUAUGUGCCACAUUUUCUUAAUCCAGUCUAUCGUUGUUGGACAUUUAGGUUGGUUCCAAGUCUUUGCUAUUGUGAAUAGUGCCAUAAUAAACAUACGUGUGCAUGUGUCUUUAUAGCAGCAUGAUUUAUAAUCCUUUGGGUAUAUACCCAGUAAUGGGAUGGCUGGGUCAAAUGGUAUUUCUAGUUCUAGAUCCCUCAGGAAUCGCCACACUGACUUCCACAAUGGUUGAACUAGUUUACAGUCCCACCAACAGUGUAAAAGUGUUCCUAUUUCUCCACAUCCUCUCCAGCACCUGUUGUUUCCUGACAUUUUAAUGAUCACCAUUCUAACUGGUGUGAGAUGGUAUCUCAUUGUGGUUUUGAUUUGCAUUUCUCUGAUGGCCAGUAAUGAUGAGCAUUUUUUCAUGUGUUUUUUGGCUGCAUAAAUGUCUUCUUUUGAGAAGUGUCUGUUCAUAUCCUUUGCCCACUUUUUGAUGGGGUUGUUUGUUUUUUUUCUUGUAAAUUUGUUUGAGUUCAUUGUAGAUUCUGGAUACUAGCC
Molecule: long non-coding RNA, 3742 nt
Organism: Pan troglodytes (chimpanzee)
Lineage: Eukaryota; Metazoa; Chordata; Mammalia; Primates; Hominidae
Exons: 5
Source: RefSeq, a predicted model, not a curated record